CCUACGGGUGGCAGCAGUGAGGAAUAUUGGUCAAUGGGAGGAAUCCUGAACCAGCCAUGCCGCGUGCAGGACGACGGCUCUACGAGUUGUAAACUGCUUUUGUACCGGGGUAAAAUGCUCUACGAGUAGGGUUUUGAAAGUACGGUACGAAUAAGGAUCGGCGAACUCCGUGCCCACAGCCGCGGUAUUACGGUGGAUCAGAGGGUUAUCCGGAUUCAUUGGGUUUAAGGGGUGCGUAGGUUGUGUUAUAGGUUAGCGGUGAAAUACCGAUGCUCAACAUCGGGGCUGCCGCUGAUACUGUAGGACUAGAGAUCGGAUGCAGCAGGCGGAAUGUGUAGUGUAGCGGUGAAAUGCAUAGAUAUUACACAGAACACCGAUUGCGAAGGCAGCUUGCUAGGCCGGAUCUGACACUGAUGCACGAAAGCGUGGGGAUCGAACAGGAGUAGAUACCCUGGUAGUC
Molecule: ribosomal RNA, 460 nt
Filed under: uncultured bacterium
Lineage: Bacteria
Description: partial 16S ribosomal RNA
Rfam family: Bacterial small subunit ribosomal RNA
Source: RNAcentral